Molecule: long non-coding RNA, 1611 nt
Filed under: Physcomitrium patens
Lineage: Eukaryota; Viridiplantae; Streptophyta; Bryopsida; Funariales; Funariaceae
Description: long non-coding RNA (PPAT_LNC005515)
Source: RNAcentral
UUUUUCAUUAAAAUAUUUUCCCAAUUUUUGAAAGAGAAAAGAAACAAAAAAUCAAAUAAUCAAACACUCCAAUCAUUUCAAAUACUCCAUGCAGAAUCUAUAAACAGUGGUGUUGUAUGCUGUGGUUUUUCAAGUAUGUGAUUUCAACUUCUUUUUUUUUUGUUCCUACAAUAUACAUUUUCACCUUUAAGUAGUAGAAGAUAAAAAAAUAAUAAUAAUAAUAAUAAUAAUAAGUAAACCUAACUAUAUUUCUGAAAUUUUAAAAGUAGCAUGAUCAUUACACAAAUGUAAAUCAAAACAAUUCAAGCCACUAAAUUAAUAUCUCUAGAAUAUCUCUAGAAAAACUGAAUAAAUUUUUCAUGAAAAUAAUAUUGAUGCAUGAAAUUUCAAAAAAAGAAAAAAGGUGCUAACAUGUACUUUCAAAAAUAACUCAAUAUGUGGGUAUAUAAUAGGAGUUUAAGAUAAGAUUAAAUAGACCAAAAUUGAAAAUAUCAGAUUUCAGCAUUAUUUGCAAUUCAUUUAAAAAAAUAGUUACAUUGGAGGGAAUAUAGAAUAAUAUUUAUUCGGGGAUUAUGCAAGUUACUAUUAAAAUAGUUUUUUUAGGAAUAACAUAGUUGCUAUCCCAAUAUUCAAUUUUAUUAGUGCCUCAUGUGUCUUUUACAUCAACACUAGAUCAAACAUUGGCCAUUCAUUUUAAACAAUUAUCAGUUCAAAAGAUAUGAAAGAAGAUUUUCAGAAUUUAAACAAAAUAAGCAUGGUACAAUAUUUGGUCAAGUGAUGUACCAAGGCAAAAGAAAUAUGCAAGAAUGUGCAAAUGAAAUAGACACUUCUCACUGAAUGUACACAUUAAAACUGUACAAAGACAAAAAGGGCUCAACAAUGAAGCACAUUGGGAUUAGAAAAAUGUAAUUUAUUUUGGGCCUGUGCACAUUACCAUCACUUUCUCACAUUUCAAUCCAACAUAAAGUUUCAAUGUCACAUGAAAGGAGUAGAAGACUCUGAUAACACUUGCAAUUAAACUUUCCAUAUUUGAACAAGUAAUUUUUAAAAAGAAACUACAUUUCAAAAUGUACAAUCAUUCACCCGUUUGACCAAGUUUGGCAUAAAUCAAACAAUUUAAGAAUAAUAAACAAGACAAAAUAAAAUCAAGUGUAUACUGAGAAUUAUAUAGAAAUUGAAUCUAAAUAAUAAACUUAUACCUGGUAUCCAGAAUUUUCCUGCAAAAUUUAAUCUUUUUUUUCUUUUAAAAUUUGAAUGGAGUAUUACUAAGAUUCAAAUUUCUAACUAAGAAAUAAAAUCUCCAAUGAUUAUACCAUGGAAUUCAAUGCAUUCAAUAGUAGUGGAUAAACUCAAAAUAAAGCUGUUGGUGAUUUAUUUGUUUGUUUGUGUGUAUAUAUAUAUAUAUAUAUACAUACAUAUAUGUUGCACAAUAUCAUAUUUCUUUCACAAGUUUUUCAUCCAUCAACUGAAAGAAAUAUGUUUUUCUUAACAUAUAAGAAUGACAAACUGUACUUGUCAUUCAAUUAAACAUCUUGUACCUCCUUUGAAAGUUGAACUGCUCAAUAAAUAUUCAAAGAUUGUGUGUGUGUGAGUGUGUGUGUGGGUAUUGAU